GCGCGUAAAUUGCCCGAAUCCUGACACAGGGAGGUAGUGACAAGAAAUAACGAUACAGGGCUACAUCUAGUCUUGUAAUUGGAAUGAGUACAAUUUACAUCUCUUAACGAUGAUCAAUUGGAGGGCAAGUCUGGUGCCAGCAGCCGCGGUAAUUCCAGCUCCAAUAGCGUAUAUUAAAGUUGUUGCAGUUAGAACGCUCGUAGUCGGAUUUCGGGGCGGUCCGACCGGUCUGCCGAUGGGUACGCACUGGUCGGAGCGUCCUUUUUGCCGGAGACCGUUCCUACUCUUAACUGAGCGGGAGCGGGAGACGGCACUUUUACUUUGAAAAAAUCAGAGUGUUUCAAGCAGGCAGCUCGCUCUUGCAUGGAUUAGCAUGGGAUAAUGAAAUAGGACUUUGGUGCUAUUUUGUUGGUUUCGAACACCGAAGUAAUGAUGAGAAGGGACAGUCAGGGGCACUCGUAUUCC
RNAcentral lists this ribosomal RNA (465 nucleotides) under Haptophyta environmental samples. Its description in RNAcentral is "SSU rRNA". It matches the Rfam family "Eukaryotic small subunit ribosomal RNA", at positions 432 to 900 of the family's 1831-position model. Lineage: Eukaryota; Haptophyta. The record is from RNAcentral.